RNAcentral lists this ribosomal RNA (292 nucleotides) under uncultured prokaryote. Its description in RNAcentral is "partial 16S ribosomal RNA". It matches the Rfam family "Bacterial small subunit ribosomal RNA", at positions 505 to 796 of the family's 1533-position model. The record is from RNAcentral.
GUGCCAGCAGCCGCGGUAAUACGGAGGGGGCUAGCGUUGUUCGGAAUUACUGGGCGUAAAGCGCACGUAGGCGGACUGGAAAGUCAGAGGUGAAAUCCCAGGGCUCAACCUUGGAACUGCCUUUGAAACUAUCAGUCUGGAGUUCGAGAGAGGUGAGUGGAAUUCCGAGUGUAGAGGUGAAAUUCGUAGAUAUUCGGAGGAACACCAGUGGCGAAGGCGGCUCACUGGCUCGAUACUGACGCUGAGGUGCGUAAGCGUGGGGAGCAAACAGGAUUAGAUACCCCUGUAGUCC